GCUGCUCAAACCUUCACACAUCUCUUCGUGGUGAGCAGUAGGCAACGAUCUAUGAUCGGCAGAGAUGUGAAG
Molecule: ribozyme, 72 nt
Filed under: unclassified sequences
Description: HDV ribozyme from F. prausnitzii
Rfam family: HDV ribozyme from F. prausnitzii
Source: RNAcentral